RNAcentral lists this ribosomal RNA (194 nucleotides) under uncultured Hafnia sp. RNAcentral describes it as "partial 16S ribosomal RNA". It matches the Rfam family "Bacterial small subunit ribosomal RNA", at positions 338 to 524 of the family's 1533-position model. The record is from RNAcentral. Lineage: Bacteria; Pseudomonadati; Pseudomonadota; Gammaproteobacteria; Enterobacterales; Hafniaceae.
CCUACGGGAGGCAGCAGUGGGAAUAUUGCACAAUGGGCGCAAGCCUGAUGCAGCCAUGCCGCGUGUAUGAAGAAGGCCUUCGGGUUGUAAAGUACUUUCAGCGAGGAGGAAGGCAUUAAGGUUAAUAACCUURGUGAUGUGACGUGACUCGCAGAAGAAGCACCGGCUAACUCCGUGCCAGCAGCCGCGGUAAU